RNAcentral lists this ribosomal RNA (472 nucleotides) under uncultured bacterium. RNAcentral describes it as "bacterial SSU rRNA". It matches the Rfam family "Bacterial small subunit ribosomal RNA", at positions 28 to 507 of the family's 1533-position model. The record is from RNAcentral.
GACGAACGCUGGCGGCGUGCCUAACACAUGCAAGUCGAGCGGGGACAGUUGGAAGCUUGCUUUUGUACUGUUUUAGUCGGCGGACGGGUGAGUAACGCGUGAGCAACCUUUCCCAGACAGGGGAAUAACACACCGAAAGGUGUACUAAUACCGCAUAAGACCACGGGAUCACAUGGUUCUGAGGUAAAGAUUAUCGGUUGGGGUGGGCUCGCGUCCGAUUAGGUAGUUGGUGAGGUAACGGCCCACCAAGCCGACGAUCGGUAGCCGACCUGAGAGGGUGGAUCGGCCACAUCGGGACUGAGACACGGCCCAAACUCCUACGGGAGGCAGCAGUGGGGAAUAUUGGGCAAUGGGGGGGAACCCGUGACCCAGCAACGCCGCGUGGAGGAAGAAGGUUUUCGGUAUCGUAAACUCCUGUCCUUGGAGACGAGUAGAAGACGGUAUCCAAGGAGGAAGCCCGGCUAACUACGUG